GUGCCAUCCGCCGCGGUAAUACGUAGGGUGCGAGCGUUAAUCGGAAUUACUGGGCGUAAAGCGUGCGCAGGCGGUUUUUUAAGCCAGACGUGAAAGCCCCGGGCUUAACCUGGGAAUGGCGUUUGGGACUGGAAGGCUGGAGUACGGCAGAGGGAGGUGGAAUUCCACGUGUAGCAGUGAAAUGCGUAGAUAUGCGGAGGAACACCGAUGGCGAAGGCAAUCCCCUGGGCCUGCACUGACGCUCAUGCACGAAAGCGUGGGGAGCAAACAGGAUUAGAUACCCUGGUAGUCCACGCCCUAAACGAUGCGAACUAGUCGUUGGGGGAGCAAUCCCUUAGUGACGCAGCUAACGCGUGAAGUUCGCCGCCUGGGGAGUACGGUCGCAAGAUUAAAACUCAAAUGAAUUGACGG
RNAcentral lists this ribosomal RNA (411 nucleotides) under uncultured bacterium. RNAcentral's name for it is "bacterial SSU rRNA". It matches the Rfam family "Bacterial small subunit ribosomal RNA", at positions 505 to 916 of the family's 1533-position model. The record is from RNAcentral.